CAGGCAGCCAGAGGGUGGGACAGUGGGCACACUCUGUGGGAUUUCCCAUCUCCCAGAGUAGGGAGUGCUGACGCCUUCUGCCCAAGGCACGUGGUGGUUGUGCCUAGAAGGUGGUAGUGCCACCCAGUUUCCAGGGUCCUAAGGCGAACCUGAGGAUCACCCAGGGUGGUCAUUUAUGCCGACCCUUGCAGCCUACAGAAUCCAGGGCCCAGAGCUUGCGGACCUACUAGGUGCGCACCGCGCCCUGCAGUGCGGCCACGGCGGCACUGCGGCAUGCCUGGCCGGCCUGGGUGCAGACAAGCGGCGCCGGGGAAGGUGAAGGUGACCGCCUUCUUCUUCCUGGCCUCGAGGGCUGUGCGCUGCGGGGCCGAGGGAUGCUCAGGCCCACCAAAGUUUGCUCCCAGUGGUCGGGGUUCCCAAGAAGCGUCCCGGGGCAGGGACUGUGCGCGCCGCAGCGGGGGGUGGACCCCCAUCCCCGCGGCACUUUGUGCGCUCUUUUCGGGUUCCGAAUCUUAACUCGCAGGGGUGGGAGUAGGUGGGGGUUCCGAGAGACGUUCUCCUUCCGGAAGCAGGUCGCCUGGCCCCGCCGGGCCCCCGCCCGCCUCAGUGCAGCUGCCCCUCCGGCCGGGCCCCAGGGCGAGAGUCCCCAGGUCUGCGGCCGCUCCCACCAGCUGAUUUUGACAGAGGGGGGUCCCGGGCGGCGCGGACGGAGGGGCGAGCCCCUGCCAGAUCCGGGGAUGAUAACGCCGGCUCCAUGUCGCGGCUUCGGGCUGUCCAGGCUCCGCCCCUGUGAGUGUGUAAGUGUGUGAUGCUGCCGCGGCCGCCGCCGCCGCCGCCUGCAGCCGCCGCCGCUGCCGCCCCGGCUGCCGAGCCGCGCCGCGCCGCUGCCGCUGCCCCGGCCGCCCCUGCCGCCGCCACCGCCUCCGCCAGCCCGCAGCCCGCCAGGCGGGCGGCCCCGCCGGCUCGAGCCCGCCGCGCCUGCCGCCGCAGCGUCGGGGCGCUGGGCGCGCGGGCAGCCGCGGACCGAGCAGACCCGAGCGGGCGGUCAGGCACUUGCCCGCCCGCUGCCGCUGCCGCCGCCGCCGCCACCGCCCCGAAGCUCAGGACCCGGCACCUCCGGCGCCCGCCCUCGCCGCCCAUGCGGCCCGGGCACUUUAGCCGGGCAGGAGGGCCGGAGAUCCGGACUGCCGAGAGCAGCGCGCGAGCCGCGCCGAGAGCCGCGCAGACCCGCCGCGAGCAGCGACGGACGCCGCCCGCCGCCGCCACCGCCGCCGCCCGGCCGUUAUGGAUCUAUUCGACUUUUCAGGGACUGGGACCUGGAGCAGCAGUGGUAGGUGUUGCUUUUUGCCUUCUCCUUUGCUGCCCGGGUCCCCGCGCUGGGGCUGGGCUUUCCGCCUUUGUUAAGAGGAGCCGGGGCUUGGUGGGGGCGCCCCGGACGCCCUCCCACUUGCUCUCGGCCACCUCUGGCCCCAGCCGCCGCGACUCCUCGGUCGGGUGCCCGGGUGGGGGUAGGUGCGGAUGA
This 1522-nucleotide long non-coding RNA is filed under the name Bos grunniens (domestic yak). RNAcentral's name for it is "lncRNA (ENSBGRG00000011971.1)". The record is from RNAcentral. Lineage: Eukaryota; Metazoa; Chordata; Mammalia; Artiodactyla; Bovidae.